AUGUAUAUUUCAAACAAACACAAAAAUAGAGAAACUAGUAGGUUCCCCUGUGUCCGUAUGUCAGCUUCAGCAAUGGGUAACCCUGGCCAAUGUAUUUACUCCCCACAUCCUUUGCUUCCGGCGAACUCCAGGCAUCACACGUUCUCAUCUGCAAAUAAGUGCUUCUGUGCAAAAGUUAGAUUUCAAAUAUAUCUGUUAGGAAGCAGCCUCGGGGGAGCUGGUGCCCGUCUCGCUGGUGCCGUGGCUCCGGGGCCUAGCACGGUGCUUGGCUCACACGGCCAGCAGGGGCGUGGCGGGGCUGUGGCUCAGAUCUCUGGGGACGGUGGCGUGUGGGCUGUGGUUUGCACAGGCUGGCCGCCGUCAGGGCAUCCGUACACGCCGAGUGCGCUGCCGCGGUCCUGCGAAUACGCGGCGCGUGUGCUUGUGUGUGCGUGUGCACGUUGCUGCAGCAGCUGGUGGCAGAAAGCGCACUUCCUCCCUGACACUAUCUCCCACACCCCCAGAAUCCGGGGACUGGCUCUUGCGGGGCGUGUGAGAGAGGGUGGGAAAGAUGCAAGCUCCAGCCCCCGCUCACUCCUCCAGGGGGCCGGUCUGAGGCCAGGGUGGCCUUCCCGGCUUGGCUCGAGGCUGUGCCAGCCCAGGCGCCAGCAGGCCGCCUCCUCCCGCCCUGGCCCCAAAGCCCCGCCCAGCUGGGUGGCACUAGCCGGGGAAGGGCGGUGGUAUUCCCACCAGGCUGACUCCCGAUGCUGCUGCCCGGGUGAUCCCCGUCUUGAAGCCGCUCAAACUGGGCGGGGGGCACCUGGGCGCGGAGUCCUGGCCAGUGCGGAAGAACUUGCUCCUAGCCCCGCAGGAGCUGGACUCCAGGGGGCUACUCCCGGUCAGACCCGGAGUUCCCCAGGAGCUUCUCGGCCUGCUCCCCUGAGCCCCGGUCCGCUUCAGGGCUGGUCUCCUCGUCCCGUCCCUCUGGCCCCACGUCUCCUUGGCCCUGCCCUCGUGUCCGCUUUAAGCUUGGCACUCCCUGUCCUUCCCUCCCUGGGAAGCCCCUGUGUCCUGGGCACCCCUAGGCCCACCCUGCCUCCCACCCUGCCCUCCUCCACCCGCCCAGCAGGUUCCCUGCGGUCAAGGCUCCACCGUGCGGAGGAGGUCCGGAUCAGUGGGGGUGGGUGGAGGAAGGGAGGUGCCAGCUUCUAG
Molecule: long non-coding RNA, 1191 nt
Filed under: Vulpes vulpes (red fox)
Lineage: Eukaryota; Metazoa; Chordata; Mammalia; Carnivora; Canidae
Description: lncRNA (ENSVVUG00000019601.1)
Source: RNAcentral